RNAcentral lists this unclassified non-coding RNA (570 nucleotides) under Hevea brasiliensis (rubber tree). The record is from RNAcentral. Lineage: Eukaryota; Viridiplantae; Streptophyta; Magnoliopsida; Malpighiales; Euphorbiaceae.
AACGUGCUGGAAAAGCUCUGCAGUAAGAAAUUCCCAAUCUAACAAAUUUAUUUUUGUAUAUUUCUCUAGUAAGUGGCACAUUAUGUGCGUGUAAUUUCUAUUUUUGGAAUUCUUCUGGUUGAAUAUCUUACAUUUUUAGAGUUCUUUGAUUUAGCGGGUUAAAGGAGACAAAUUAUUCCACAUCAAAGCAGAUAUAAACAUUUUUUAAAAUGGCAAAGCUCCGUGAAAAUAAGUUUGAUGUCAAAAAAGUUCUUUGAACUAAAAUCUGAAGCUAGGGCCCUUAAAUCUUAUGUGGAUUGUAUUAUUCAAUCCUAAGAUAGUCAUUUCAAACCAUUUCCUAUUUCCUUUUUAUCAGAUUUUCAUUCAUUUUGGUCUCAAAUUUCGUCAUGAACAUGAACUUGAUGUUUCUUUCUUCUUUGGUGUCUGGGAAUUGGAAGGAUUAUAUUAACAUUGUACUGUAUGAAAGUGUUGAAUACUUUUUGUUGAUUUAGAUAAUGUUUACUUUUCUAAAUGUUCAUAAAACUAAUAUUUUAGUGUCUGGUUUACGAAUGAGAAUCAUGCAAUAUAGUU